Non-coding RNA from Potamilus streckersoni, 79 nucleotides. Lineage: Eukaryota; Metazoa; Mollusca; Bivalvia; Unionida; Unionidae. The record is from the annotation of a GenBank genome assembly.
GACCGCUCAGGUGGCGUAAGUGGUUGGAGCGUCCGCCUUGGAUGUGGAAGGUCCCGGGUUUCAAACCCCGCUCGAGUCA